UCUGCUAAAGGAAAUAGCAGCUUGAGUCGGCACAGGAGGCAGGAACCACUUCAGAGCUGAGGAGCCUCUCCAUGCCUUGGCUUAUUCAUCUCUAAAAGGGGACAAGAGUAGAACUUGACUCUUAGGAAGUGUGAGGGCUGGAUGAGCUACCGUGGGCUGCCCUGAAGGAGGCCUGGCACCAGCAAGAGCAGAAAGAAGGUGGUGGUCCUGGUUUCCAGGUGCUGGGGCUCGCUCGGCCCAGCACAGGGGAUGUCAGGAUUGAACCCACGUUUAAUAGUUGCUCUCUGCUAGCAUAUUGGAGAAAGGAUCGGGGCAAGAGUGCUAAGGCUAAACACAGAGAAAUUGUCAGAGAAAGUUAUUAUAUCCUUCUAUCUGCAAGAGGACCAUAAGGCGAAGCAGCUGGAAUCAGAAAAGCUGAAACUAUUAAGGAGAUUUAGAAGGACUUGGUGACCAGACGGCUGUGGGGAAGCCUCCAAGGAGAGUUGGGGACUCUGGCACCCUGUUUCAGAGAGCAGCUGACAUAAUGAAUCAAUCCGCCCAGGCCCAGUUGCAACUGAGAAGACAAAGCCCAAACCCAUGAGCCUUGGGCUGUCUGGCCCCAGGAGAGAGGCCUCCUGAGCAGAUGCUUAGAAGAUGAAUAUAUUACUUUCAUGAGAUGUGGACGCCUCGCUCCCCUCGAACAUACCCUGGCACUGCCAGCUAGUUGGUGCCACUGUCACCUCUGUAAAGCUCAGGAAGAAAGGAAGACGGUGUUUACUACACUCCACGUGCCCCUGGGGGCUGUGAGCUGUAAAAUAUCGCCUCCUUAAUCCUCUGACCAUCACCUCUGAGGACAGGGUCAAGCAACUCCUUUCCGAGGUGGGGAAAUGCAUGCUGAGAGAGGCCGAGUAUCUUGUCACAAGUCACCCAGCUGGGGACAGUGGCACUGGAACCUGAACCUGAAUUCUCAGGCCCUGAAGUGUGUGCUAGCUCAUGCUUUGCUCCAUGUGAGGUCUGGAGUUUGCGGGGAACAGAACACUAGAUUCUCUGUGAUGGCUGACAGGGUUGGCAGCCAGGCUAGGAGGUCCUCUGCUGGCCCUGCCGGAUCUCACACUGCAGGCCGAGGAUGUCUAGAGACAAGGAGCCGCGGAGCGAGUUCAGAACGACACCAAGGGAGUCGAGAAAUCUGA
RNAcentral lists this long non-coding RNA (1169 nucleotides) under Ictidomys tridecemlineatus (thirteen-lined ground squirrel). Its description in RNAcentral is "lncRNA (ENSSTOG00000034941.1)". The record is from RNAcentral. Lineage: Eukaryota; Metazoa; Chordata; Mammalia; Rodentia; Sciuridae.